GGGGAUUUAGCUCAGUGGCAUAAGCACCUGCCUUGCAAGCAGGCGGUUGUGAGUACUAUCCCUG
Molecule: transfer RNA, 64 nt
Organism: Cavia porcellus (domestic guinea pig)
Lineage: Eukaryota; Metazoa; Chordata; Mammalia; Rodentia; Caviidae
Rfam family: tRNA
About the family: Transfer RNA (tRNA) molecules are approximately 80 nucleotides in length.
Source: Rfam